CGCCGCGUGAGUGAAGAAGGUUUUCGGAUCGUAAAGCUCUGUUGUUAAGGAAGAACGAGUGUGAGAAUGGAAAGUUCAUACUGUGACGGUACUUAACCAGAAAGGGACGGCUAACUACGUGCCAGCAGCCGCGGUAAUACGUAGGUCCCGAGCGUUGUCCGGAUUUAUUGGGCGUAAAGCGAGCGCAGGCGGUUAGAAAAGUCUGAAGUGAAAGGCAGUGGCUCAACCAUUGUAGGCUUUGGAAACUGUUUAACUUGAGUGCAGAAGGGGAGAGUGGAAUUCCAUGUGUAGCGGUGAAAUGCGUAGAUAUAUGGAGGAACACCGGUGGCGAAAGCGGCUCUCUGGUCUGUAACUGACGCUGAGGCUCGAAAGCGUGGGGAGCGAACAGGAUUAGAUACCCUGGUAGUCCACGCC
This 414-nucleotide ribosomal RNA is filed under the name Streptococcus anginosus. Its description in RNAcentral is "bacterial SSU rRNA". It matches the Rfam family "Bacterial small subunit ribosomal RNA", at positions 395 to 801 of the family's 1533-position model. Lineage: Bacteria; Bacillati; Bacillota; Bacilli; Lactobacillales; Streptococcaceae. The record is from RNAcentral.